CUGGAGUGAAGCACAUAUGUGACGUACUGAAGGAUUCACACUGUAAACUGGAGAUAUUGAGUCUACAGCGCUGUGGCAUUACAGAUGUUUCUUCUUUAACUCAGUCUUUGACUAACUCAAAAGCACUGCAGUUUUUAAAACAUCUUGAUCUGAGACACAAUACGAUAGGAGACUCAAAGCAGCGGCUCAGUGACGUGUUACGAGACUCAAACUGUGACCUGAGAGUUUAAUCACCAAACACGUCUGACGGAUGCUCUAUAUCAUAGUGUGAAAUCAUCAUGAGAGGAGCAGAAAUCAUCAGGUGAUCCACAGAAGAGUCUCACUACUGUGUCUAUGAGGAGAAAUAAAUGUGAUUAAUGUGUAAAUGUGUUUCAUACAGAUGGAAGAGACUCAGACUUCACAAUGAAAUAAAGCAGCAUGUGUAUCAGAAACAUGUGAUAUUGAAUGAUUAAUGCUGCUUUAGUAUUUAGUCAAAUGAUGGUUUAGUUUUAUUUAAAGGUGAACAGGAGGAAGAAGCUCAGAUGAGUCUGUCAGCAGAAAUCUUCAGGCUCUUCAGUAUCAGGCCUACAAAUAUAAUAAUGUUUGGAUUGAACUCAUCCAUAAUCAUUAAAAUAUUAUUAAUCAUAAACAUGAUUGUCAAGUAUAGCACAUAAAUCAAAAUAUAUAAAGUCUACAUGUUACUUCAAACAUUUACAUGAUCUCUUACAUUUUAUACACAGAAUAUAUUUGUUUAUUUUUGUUAUUCUGUUUUAUUUUAUAUUAAGUUAUCUGUGAGUGUCUGUUAAUGCACAGAUAUACAGUAUAUUGUUUAACUUUUCAAACAAAAACAAUUGUUCUUAACCUCUUUAACACACAAAUGCUGUUUACUGGUAAAAAUGUACAAUAUACAAUAUAUACAAUAUGUUAACUUGUCUGUUGUAUUAUUGAAGCUACAUGAGCAGAUGCAGAGAGAUUCUCCUUCUUAAAUAAAUGUGAAGUUGUAGAUGUUAAACAUAAAAUCAUAUGAGUGAUCUUUGCAAUUGCUGGAGAAGAAAUCGUGCUGGGCUGCGUUUCUCUAAACAUUGUGAGCUCAGUUGAUCGUAGAGAUUGUUGGUGGCAUUAUCAUUAAUCACCCUCGUGUCAUUCCAAACAUGUAAGAAAUGUUUCAGUGUCUGAUUUGUUUCCAACAUUCUUCAAAAUAUCUUCUUUUUAGAUAUCCUAUCUUCGACAGGAUUGUUAUUUUAGGGUGAACUAUCCCUUUAAAUGGGACCUACUAAUGUUUACAAGAUGUAAAUAAGUCUCUGGUGUCCCCAGAAUGUGUCUUUAAGCUCAAAAUACCUCACAGAUCAUUUAUUAAACCACGUUGUUAAUACCCA
Molecule: long non-coding RNA, 1355 nt
Organism: Megalobrama amblycephala (Wuchang bream)
Lineage: Eukaryota; Metazoa; Chordata; Actinopteri; Cypriniformes; Xenocyprididae
Exons: 3
Source: RefSeq, a predicted model, not a curated record